Molecule: ribosomal RNA, 465 nt
Filed under: Vreelandella stevensii
Lineage: Bacteria; Pseudomonadati; Pseudomonadota; Gammaproteobacteria; Oceanospirillales; Halomonadaceae
Description: partial 16S ribosomal RNA
Rfam family: Bacterial small subunit ribosomal RNA
Source: RNAcentral
CCUACGGGGGGCAGCAGUGGGGAAUAUUGGACAAUGGGGGGAACCCUGAUCCAGCCAUGCCGCGUGUGUGAAGAAGGCCCUCGGGUUGUAAAGCACUUUCAGUGAGGAAGAACGCCUGGUGGUUAAUACCCAUCAGGAAAGACAUCACUCACAGAAGAAGCACCGGCUAACUCCGUGCCAGCAGCCGCGGUAAUACGGAGGGUGCGAGCGUUAAUCGGAAUUACUGGGCGUAAAGCGCGCGUAGGUGGCUUGAUAAGCCGGUUGUGAAAGCCCCGGGCUCAACCUGGGAACGGCAGCCGGAACUGUCAAGCUAGAGUGUAGGUGAGGAAGGUAGAAUUCCUGGUGUAGCGGUGAAAUGCGUAGAGAUCGGGAGGAAUACCAGUUGCGAAGGCGGCCUUCUGGACCGACACUGACACUGAGGUGCGAAAGCGUGGGUAGCAAACAGGAUUAGAUACCCGUGUAGUC